RNAcentral lists this unclassified non-coding RNA (269 nucleotides) under Basidiomycota sp. Its description in RNAcentral is "partial contains small subunit ribosomal RNA, internal transcribed spacer 1, and 5.8S ribosomal RNA". The stretch from base 1 to 47 matches the Rfam family "Eukaryotic small subunit ribosomal RNA", at positions 1785 to 1831 of the family's 1831-position model. Lineage: Eukaryota; Fungi; Basidiomycota. The record is from RNAcentral.
AAAGUCGUAACAAGGUUUCCGUAGGUGAACCUGCGGAAGGAUCAUUAAUGAAUUACUAGGGUGCUCUAUUCCAUUGGAGGCCCGAACCCUUCAUCCUUCUACACUGUGAACUCUAUUCAAUAUCGGCGGCUUGGUGGCUCAGUCUGUCUGUCAAAGGACUUUGUAGCGAAGAGUUGUUUUCCGAUUCACCUUUAAACUUGCAAUCAGUCAAUGAAUGUAAAACAUACAAAUCAUAAACAAAACUUUCAACGACGGAUCUCUUGGCUCUC